UACCGCGGCUGCUGGCACGGAGUUAGCCGGUGCUUCUUCUGCAGGUAACGUCAACACUGACCGGUAUUAACGAUCAGCUUUUCCUCCCUGCUGAAAGUGCUUUACAACCCUAAGGCCUUCUUCACACACGCGGCAUGGCUGGAUCAGGGUUGCCCCCAUUGUCCAAUAUUCCCCACUGCUGCCUCCCGUAGGAGUCCGGGCCGUGUCUCAGUCCCGGUGUGGCUGAUCAUCCUCUCAGACCAGCUACGGAUCGUCGCCUUGGUAGGCCAUUACCCCACCAACUAACUAAUCCGACAUGGGCCCAUCCAAUAGCGCGAGCCUAAGCCCGCUUUCCCCCUCAGGGCGUAUGCGGUAUUAAUCCGGGUUUCCCCGGGCUAUCCCCCACUACUGGGUAAGUUCCCAUGCGUUACUCACCCGUCCGCCGCUCGCCAGCCUCCCGAAGGAGCUGCUGCCGCUCGACUUGCAUGUGUUAGGCCUGCCGCCAGCGUUCAAUCUGAGCCAUGAUCAAACUC
Molecule: ribosomal RNA, 512 nt
Filed under: uncultured Gammaproteobacteria bacterium
Lineage: Bacteria; Pseudomonadati; Pseudomonadota; Gammaproteobacteria
Description: partial 16S ribosomal RNA
Source: RNAcentral